Scophthalmus maximus (turbot) is the source of this 893-nucleotide long non-coding RNA. RefSeq lists it as uncharacterized. The transcript has 4 exons. The record is from RefSeq and is a predicted model, not a curated record. Lineage: Eukaryota; Metazoa; Chordata; Actinopteri; Pleuronectiformes; Scophthalmidae.
UAUGUAAAUUCAAAAUAAACUAAAUUUCCACGAUAAUCUCAAAUCAGACACGUUGAUGUAUUAAACACUGUAAACCCCAAAAUUAAGUGCAUCCCUCCAUACGAAACUAAAGACACAAAGACAAGCCUAUGGCUGCUCAGUCUGCAAAAGGCACGUGGUUGGCGUUCACAUCACAUUAAAUACUAAAUACCAAGACAAACGCAGUUCUGUCGCUCUGAAUAAUGGCUUUCGAAUUGCGCGCCAAGAACUUCCGGGAACUAUCUGAAAAGUCUGCAUUGUCGGACUUCCGUUGCCGCGACUCUCAUUAGACGGCUCUGGAUCACGACGUUAACCAGCAGUUUUCUUCCCGGCGUGGUCGAGGUGUCGCGGUGAACCUGGCUGCCAAUCGGCGGCAGCUGCGUUGAGCGUAGUCGCAGGUGCGCAUCACUCAGGUGAACACGUGCUACCGUGCUGCAGGCCACGGUUGGUUGACUGCGACGUAAGUGAGUGAAAGAACUGAUGGGCGAGCUCUUCAACCUGAUGAGCGCAGAGCCAAAGGAUCUGAAGACCCCACUCCGCAACAAUCAUCGUCAUCAUCAUCACCAUCGUCGUCGUCGUCGUCUUCAUCAUCAUCCCUGCCGGUGCGGUCACAGUUGUCCAAAAGAGGGCGUUGAAUCAGCAGCGACUGGACUUUGGGCGUUAGGUCGUUGGAGACGUGUCACUUCUCAUCCAUGAGGCCUCUUCAGUUGGGUGAGCGCUGCAGCGCCGUCGAGAAUCUACAACCAAGUAUCCCCUACGGAUGUGGCAUGCUGCUGUGAACGCUGCCGACGCACGAGCGUCCGUCUGCCAGUGUGACGGUGCGUCGCCAAAAUGGAAAAGCGAGGACAACUGUAAAGGAAUGAAUGCAAGAUAAU